GGAAACGAGGUGCUAAUACCGGAUAAGAAAGCAGAUCGCAUGAUCAGCUUUUAAAGGCGGCGUAAAGCUGUCGCUAUGGGGGAUGGGCCCCGCGGUGCAUUAGCUAGUUGGCAAGGUAAAGGCUUACCAAGGCGAUGAUGCAUAGCCCGAGUUGAGAGACUGAUCGGGCCACAUUGGGGACUGAGACACGGGCCCAAACUCCUACGGGAGGCAGCAGUAGGGAAUCUUCCACAAUGGACGCAAGUCUGAUGGAGCAAACGCCGCGUGAGUGAAGAAGGUUUUCGGAUCGUAAAAAGCUCUGUUGUUGGUGAAGAAGGAUAGAGGUAGUAACUGGCCCUUUAUUUGACGGUAAUCAACCCAGAAAGUCACGGGCUAACUACGUGCCCAGCAGCCGCGGUAAAU
This 402-nucleotide ribosomal RNA is filed under the name uncultured Lactobacillus sp. RNAcentral describes it as "bacterial SSU rRNA". It matches the Rfam family "Bacterial small subunit ribosomal RNA", at positions 152 to 525 of the family's 1533-position model. Lineage: Bacteria; Bacillati; Bacillota; Bacilli; Lactobacillales; Lactobacillaceae. The record is from RNAcentral.